UCAGGAUGAACGCUGACAGAAUGCUUAACACAUGCAAGUCUACUUGAUUCUACUUGGGUAGUUGAUGGUGGCGGACGGGUGAGUAACGCGUAAAGAAUCUGCCCUUUAGCUUUGGGAUAACCUUUGGAAACGGAGGCUAAUACCGGAUAUUAUGGAGACCGUCGCAUGACGACCUCAUGAAAGCUAUAUGCGCUAGAGGAGGACUUUGCGUCCCAUUAGUUAGUUGGUGAGGUAAUGGGUCACCAAGACCGCGAUGGGUAGCCGGCCUGAGAGGGUGAUCGGCCACAAGGGAACUGAGACACGGUCCCUUACUCCUACGGGAGG
Molecule: ribosomal RNA, 324 nt
Filed under: uncultured Eubacterium sp.
Lineage: Bacteria; Bacillati; Bacillota; Clostridia; Eubacteriales; Eubacteriaceae
Description: bacterial SSU rRNA
Rfam family: Bacterial small subunit ribosomal RNA
Source: RNAcentral